CCUACGGGCGGCAGCAGUGGGGAAUAUUGGACAAUGGGGGGAACCCUGAUCCAGCCAUGCCGCGUGUGUGAAGAAGGCCCUCGGGUUGUAAAGCACUUUCAGUGAGGAAGAACGCCUGGUGGUUAAUACCCAUCAGGAAAGACAUCACUCACAGAAGAAGCACCGGCUAACUCCGUGCCAGCAGCCGCGGUAAUACGGAGGGUGCGAGCGUUAAUCGGAAUUACUGGGCGUAAAGCGCGCGUAGGUGGCUUGAUAAGCCGGUUGUGAAAGCCCCGGGCUCAACCUGGGAACGGCAUCCGGAACUGUCAAGCUAGAGUGCAGGAGAGGAAGGUAGAAUUCCCGGUGUAGCGGUGAAAUGCGUAGAGAUCGGGAGGAAUACCAGUGGCGAAGGCGGCCUUCUGGACUGACACUGACACUGAGGUGCGAAAGCGUGGGUAGCAAACAGGAUUAGAUUACCCUUGUAGUC
Molecule: ribosomal RNA, 466 nt
Filed under: Vreelandella stevensii
Lineage: Bacteria; Pseudomonadati; Pseudomonadota; Gammaproteobacteria; Oceanospirillales; Halomonadaceae
Description: partial 16S ribosomal RNA
Rfam family: Bacterial small subunit ribosomal RNA
Source: RNAcentral